This is a long non-coding RNA of Sander lucioperca (pikeperch), 794 nucleotides long. RefSeq lists it as uncharacterized. The transcript is spliced from 3 exons. NCBI's taxonomy places the organism in Eukaryota, Metazoa, Chordata, Actinopteri, Perciformes, Percidae. The record is from RefSeq and is a predicted model, not a curated record.
UAGCAAGAGUUCCGGCAGUUGACGUCACGCAAUCCCAGCAUGCACCAGUCAAUAUCAAAACACCCAUCGGAGCUGAGCCAGAGUUAGCUAGCUAGCUACGUUACUAGCUAGUUGCACCUAUUGUAGAUAUAUAGCUAGCUAGCUAGCUACUUUAUUGAUCCCCAUGGGGAAAUCAUUUGCUGCCUAUUUCAAUAAACGCUUUGAUUCAGCAUGGUGGAUAGCUGCUGUGCACCGGGAUGCCAGAACCAUCGGAAAAAAGAUAAUGGGUAGCAUUUUAUAGGAUUCCUAGCUAAAGAUCCCGAGAGAAGAAGUAAAUGUAUUGCUUCCAUAAAACGUGCUAGAAGCAGACAGAACCAAACCGAGCGAUGGGAGCCCACAAACAAUGGAUUUCGGUUAUGCUGUGACCACUUCAUAUCAGGGGGAAAGAGUGACAACCCUCUGUCACCUGACUACGUUCCUUCAAUCUUCAAUCAUGUUCCAUCCCCGGAGAAGAGAAGAAAAAGAAGAAUGAGGUUAGACGUAGUCAACAGAAGACAGAAGAACAAACUUCAAAGAAUAGAGAAAGCAGCAAAGCUGUCAGCUGCAGCAGUAAUGGAUCUAACGGAUUGUCCUCAAGACAACAGCAAGCGUCCUACUGCAGACCAGAACCACGCACCAUACCUGGGGUGACACAGCUUUCACCAUUGCAGCCCUUUCCCUCUGGAACUCCCUACCCAUAUACAUCCGUGACUGUACUGACCUGGACACAUUCAAAACACACCUCUUCAGAUUAGCUUUCCACAUACAGUAGUCUU